GACGAACGCUGGCGGCGUGCCUAACACAUGCAAGUCGAGCGAGGUAUUUAUACCUAGCGGCGGACGGGUGAGUAACACGUGGGUAACCUGCCUCAUAGAGGGGAAUAGCCUUCCGAAAGGGAGAUUAAUACCGCAUAAGAUUGUAGCUUCGCAUGAAGUAGCAAUUAAAGGAGCAAUCCGCUAUGAGAUGGGCCCGCGGCGCAUUAGCUAGUUGGUGAGGUAACGGGUGACCAAGGCGACGAUGCGUAGCCGACCUGAGAGGGUGAUCGGCCACAUUGGGACUGGUACACGGCCCAGACUCCUACGGGAGGCAGCGGUGGGGAAUAUUGCACAAUGGGGGAAACCCUGAUGCAGCAACGCCGCGUGAGUGAUGACGGCCUUCGGGUUGUAAAGCUCUGUCUUCAGGGACGAUAAUGACGGUACCGGAGGAGGAAGCCACGGCUAACUACGUGCCAGCAGCCGCCGUAA
RNAcentral lists this ribosomal RNA (468 nucleotides) under uncultured bacterium. Its description in RNAcentral is "partial 16S ribosomal RNA". It matches the Rfam family "Bacterial small subunit ribosomal RNA", at positions 28 to 523 of the family's 1533-position model. The record is from RNAcentral.